Long non-coding RNA from Camponotus floridanus (Florida carpenter ant), 425 nucleotides. RefSeq lists it as uncharacterized. The record is from RefSeq and is a predicted model, not a curated record. The transcript is spliced from 3 exons. Lineage: Eukaryota; Metazoa; Arthropoda; Insecta; Hymenoptera; Formicidae.
UACUAUUGCAAUGAUAGUAGAAUGUGGAGUGUUUCUACUAAUUACUUUGGCAAAUAUUUUUUUUUUAUUUUUUUUUAGCAAUAAUCAGUUUGAGCUAGUCAGAAGAUUUUGCUCUACAUUAAUAAACUGGCUUUACUUUUUCAAUGAUGAGAGAGAUCAAGAUCCAAAUUCAAGGAACAAUGACCAAGACGCUUAUCGAUACGACAGAAUGGAAUAGGAAUAUAAUAUGUAUAAUACGAGCCAUUGGUCAACGUUUAACUUGAAAAGUUGGAAUUGAGAUUGUUGCAAAUUGUUGCAAAGAUUUACUUAUAUACGAUAAAUAAAUCUUAAAUAUGUCAUUAGACAUUAUUUCCAACUUCAAGUCUUUCGAAUAAUGCAAGUUAAAAAGAAGGAAUACCGCAAACAUAAUUUUAAAUCGAGACCAG